UACGGGGGGGGCAAGCGUUGUUCGGAAUUACUGGGCGUAAAGGGCUCGUAGGCGGCCAACUAAGCCAGACGUGAAAUCCCUCGGCUUAACCGGGGAACUGCGUCUGAUACUGGAUGGCUGGAGGUUGGGAGAGGGAUGCGGAAUUCCAGGUGUAGCGGUGAAAUGCGUAGAUAUCUGGAGGAACACCGGUGGCGAAGGCGGCAUCCUGGACCAAUUCUGACGCUGAGGAGCGAAAGCCAGGGGAGCAAACGGG
This 253-nucleotide ribosomal RNA is filed under the name uncultured bacterium. RNAcentral describes it as "partial 16S ribosomal RNA". It matches the Rfam family "Bacterial small subunit ribosomal RNA", at positions 524 to 776 of the family's 1533-position model. The record is from RNAcentral.